This 69-nucleotide non-coding RNA is filed under the name Flavobacterium limnosediminis JC2902. RNAcentral describes it as "S15-Flavobacteria ribosomal protein leader". It matches the Rfam family "S15-Flavobacteria ribosomal protein leader". Lineage: Bacteria; Pseudomonadati; Bacteroidota; Flavobacteriia; Flavobacteriales; Flavobacteriaceae. The record is from RNAcentral.
UAUUUUUGCGCCACGUUUUAGGAUAGUCCUAUUUCGUUACAUAAUAAUCAUUUAAAGAAUAUUUGCAUG